This 408-nucleotide ribosomal RNA is filed under the name uncultured bacterium. Its description in RNAcentral is "bacterial SSU rRNA". It matches the Rfam family "Bacterial small subunit ribosomal RNA", at positions 354 to 775 of the family's 1533-position model. The record is from RNAcentral.
AUUAGGAAUCUUGCACAAUGGGGGAAACCCUGAUGCAGCGACGCCGCGUGCGGGACGAAGGCAUUCGUGUCGUAAACCGCUUUUUUAGGGGAAGAAGAAUGUGACGGUACCCUAAGAAUAAGCCCCGGCUAACUACGUGCCAGCAGCCGCGGUAAUACGUAGGGGGCGAGCGUUGUCCGAAGUUACUGGGCGUAAAGCGCGCGUAGGCGGUCAUUUAAGUCUGGGGUGAAAGGUUCAACGCUUAACGUGAACAGUGCCUUGGAUACUGGGUGACUUGAGUUCGGGAGGGGGCAGUGGAAUUCCAGGUGUAGCGGUGAAAUGCGUAGAUAUCUGGAGGAACACCGAUGGCGAAGGCAGCUGCCUGGCCCAGAACUGACGCUGAGGUGCGAAAGCGUGGGGAGCGAACGG